AUAAUGCAAGUGUUUAACAGAUGCUUCACUAUUAAAAUAUUUUCCCCCCAAGUCUCAAAUAUUGAAGAAUCUCUAACCAGGGACACCAGUCCCAACGAAGACCUUGGGCGAUUUCAAAGUGCGGGCACCUCGAUUCCCCGAAUCUGUAGUGUGGCUGGUAUCGGUGUUUCCCUGGUUUAACUAGCCUGCUUGUGGAAGUGACUCUGACCGUUCCCUUAAGAAUCUUUAAUGCUCUUACAUGAGAUGAGCCUCAGAACAAGCUAAGAACCCUCUGAAAGAACAUCAAGCCUGGAAGGUGACAGAAGGAGCAAUGUGUUCUUGAAGAUGUCACCUCAGCCCACCUGCUCCAAGAACAGUGCUUCUUGCGACACUCUGAUGGCUCUGCAUUCUUUUCUGUACCAGGAAGGCGCAGAUCAUUCAUGGGGAAGUAAAACCGAAACCAGUCCUCUCCACCCCCUGCGGGUCUUCACUUUCCCAGUCUACAUCUGCCUGUGACUCCAGAAAGACAAACUGCAGAUUGGCCAAGAUGGGGAAAUUGAGGCACAGAAGCCAAGACAUGCGCUAAAGGUCAUGCGGGCUAUGAAUGGAGCUGGAAUGUGAAUGCAGGCCAUGUGACUCCAGAGCCCAUGUUCUUGAACCCUUAGAAAGACAGCAGCAACACACCUGGUGCAGCAGCUGCUUAGUUGGAGUGGCUGACAAGAGAUCCUGGCAAAUGGGUGUUUCUUCUCAGAAACUGAUUUUUCUCCAUGACUGCAGUUGAAUUACAGAGUUGUAGAGACAUCCAGGUUCUUGUUAGUGUGGACGAACUAUCCAUGAAGAUCUUAAAUGCAGGAGUCUAUGAGAACACCAAUUAAUCAAUUGUUAAAUAUUUGAGUAUCUGUUGUGAGCAAGGCACUGUAUAACCAUUAUGUCAUGUAUUAAUCUAUUGGAAAAUAAUUUGACCUUGCUUGUA
RNAcentral lists this non-coding RNA (952 nucleotides) under Pongo abelii (Sumatran orangutan). Lineage: Eukaryota; Metazoa; Chordata; Mammalia; Primates; Hominidae. The record is from RNAcentral.